Neolamprologus brichardi is the source of this 650-nucleotide non-coding RNA. The record is from RefSeq and is a predicted model, not a curated record. Lineage: Eukaryota; Metazoa; Chordata; Actinopteri; Cichliformes; Cichlidae.
AACAGUGCCACACUCUGCCCCUAUGUGUCAAGCUGUAAAUAUGGAUGUCUUUGGAACCAGAGGACAACUGGACAGUGUCAGGUCCAGGUGUCGUCCGUCCAAAUGCUAACCGCCUUGCUAACUCGUAUGCAAGAGAAUUAAAACCUUAGGAGUUUAGAUACCCAACCAUCCAAAACAAUCGAUAGUGCACAAGAGCAGUGAAGAAGAGCGCACAGGCAGGAGUGAGGGGAUUCGGGACAGAAGGACAAGAGCAAGAGUGAAAGGGAAGGUUUGAGGAGUGAGACCCGCUAUGAUGGAUGUUUGAGAUGGUGGCAAUGACAAAAAGACAUGAGGCCGAGCUGGAGGUGACAUAGCUGAAGAUGCUAUUUUUGGAGACAAAGACAAGGUGGAGAUGGGGUCACACCAGCACCUCACCCUGUCUGCAGCAUCCUCCUCUGUCACACCAGCUUUCUGCAGGUCGUCUUUCACUUCAUCCAUGAAUCUUCUCUGUGGUCUUUCCUGCCUGGCAGCUUUAACAUCCUUUGUCCAGUAUGUCUGCUAUCCCUUCUCUGCAUGUGUCAAAACCAUUUCAUCCUUGUGUUUCUACCUUUGAUUUUUAUAUAAUUUAAAUGGACACAAGGAUUUAUAUUAAAAUAUCCUUUUAAUUACAA